CACUAUCGUUAACUGAAUACAUAGGUUAACGAGGCGAACCGGGGGAACUGAAACAUCUAAGUACCCCGAGGAAAAGAAAUCAACCGAGAUUCCCCCAGUAGCGGCGAGCGAACGGGGAGCAGCCCAGAGUCUGAAUCAGCUUGUGUGUUAGUGGAACGGUCUGGAAAGUCCGACGGUACAGGGUGAUAGUCCCGUACACCAAAAUGCACAGGCUGUGAACUCGAAGAGUAGGGCGGGACACGUGGUAUCCUGUCUGAAUAUGGGGGGACCAUCCUCCAAGGCUAAAUACUCCUGACUGACCGAUAGUGAACCAGUACCGUGAGGGAAAGGCGAAAAGAACCCCGGCGAGGGGAGUGAAAAAGAACCUGAAACCGUGUACGUACAAGCAGUGGGAGCCACCUUAGGGGGUGACUGCGUACCUUUUGUAUAAUGGGUCAGCGACUUAUAUUCUGUAGCAAGGUUAACCGUAUAGGGGAGCCGCAGGGAAACCGAGUCUUAACUGGGCGUUAAGUUGCAGGGUAUAGACCCGAAACCCGGUGAUCUAGCCAUGGGCAGGUUGAAGGUUGGGUAACACUAACUGGAGGACCGAACCGACUAAUGUUGAAAAAUUAGCGGAUGACUUGUGGCUGGGGGUGAAAGGCCAAUCAAACCGGGAGAUAGCUGGUUCUCCCCGAAAGCUAUUUAGGUAGCGCCUCGUGAACUCAUCUUCGGGGGUAGAGCACUGUUUCGGCUAGGGGGUCAUCCCGACUUACCAACCCGAUGCAAACUACGAAUACCGAAGAAUGUUAUCACGGGAGACACACGGCGGGUGCUAACGUCCGUCGUGAAGAGGGAAACAACCCAGACCGCCAGCUAAGGUCCCAAAGUCAUGGUUAAGUGGGAAACGAUGUGGGAAGGCCCAGACAGCCAGGAUGUUGGCUUAGAAGCAGCCAUCAUUUAAAGAAAGCGUAAUAGCUCACUGGUCGAGUCGGCCUGCGCGGAAGAUGUAACGGGGCUAAACCAUGCACCGAAGCUGCGGCAGCGACACUAUGUGUUGUUGGGUAGGGGAGCGUUCUGUAAGCCUGUGAAGGUGGCCUGUGAGGGCUGCUGGAGGUAUCAGAAGUGCGAAUGCUGACAUAAGUAACGAUAAAGCGGGUGAAAAGCCCGCUCGCCGGAAGACCAAGGGUUCCUGUCCAACGUUAAUCGGGGCAGGGUGAGUCGACCCCUAAGGCGAGGCCGAAAGGCGUAGUCGAUGGGAAACAGGUUAAUAUUCCUGUACUUGGUGUUACUGCGAAGGGGGGACGGAGAAGGCUAUGUCAUCCGGGCGACGGUUGUCCCGGUUUAAGCAUGUAGGCUGGUUAUCCAGGCAAAUCCGGAUAAUCAAGGCUGAGGUGUGAUGACGAGGUACCACGGUACUGAAGUGACAGAUGCCCUGCUUCCAGGAAAAGCCUCUAAGCAUCAGGUAACAUCAAAUCGUACCCCAAACCGACACAGGUGGUCAGGUAGAGAAUACCAAGGCGCUUGAGAGAACUCGGGUGAAGGAACUAGGCAAAAUGGUGCCGUAACUUCGGGAGAAGGCACGCUGGUGUGUAGGUGAAGUCCCUGCGGAUGGAGCUGAGACCAGUCGAAGAUACCAGCUGGCUGCAACUGUUUAUUAAAAACACAGCACUGUGCAAACACGAAAGUGGACGUAUACGGUGUGACGCCUGCCCGGUGCCGGAAGGUUAAUUGAUGGGGUUAUCCGUAAGGAGAAGCUCUUGAUCGAAGCCCCGGUAAACGGCGGCCGUAACUAUAACGGUCCUAAGGUAGCGAAAUUCCUUGUCGGGUAAGUUCCGACCUGCACGAAUGGCGUAAUGAUGGCCAGGCUGUCUCCACCCGAGACUCAGUGAAAUUGAACUCGCUGUGAAGAUGCAGUGUACCCGCGGCAAGACGGAAAGACCCCGUGAACCUUUACUAUAGCUUGACACUGAACAUUGAGCCUUGAUGUGUAGGAUAGGUGGGAGGCUUUGAAGCGUGGACGCCAGUCUGCGUGGAGCCAACCUUGAAAUACCACCCUUUAAUGUUUGAUGUUCUAACGUCGACCCCUAAUCCGGGUUGCGGACAGUGUCUGGUGGGUAGUUUGACUGGGGCGGUCUCCUCCCAAAGCGUAACGGAGGAGCACGAAGGUUAGCUAAUCCUGGUCGGACAUCAGGAGGUUAGUGCAAUGGCAUAAGCUAGCUUGACUGCGAGCGUGACGGCGCGAGCAGGUGCGAAAGCAGGUCAUAGUGAUCCGGUGGUUCUGAAUGGAAGGGCCAUCGCUCAACGGAUAAAAGGUACUCCGGGGAUAACAGGCUGAUACCGCCCAAGAGUUCAUAUCGACGGCGGUGUUUGGCACCUCGAUGUCGGCUCAUCACAUCCUGGGGCUGAAGUAGGUCCCAAGGGUAUGGCUGUUCGCCAUUUAAAGUGGUACGCGAGCUGGGUUUAGAACGUCGUGAGACAGUUCGGUCCCUAUCUGCCGUGGGCGCUGGAGAAUUGAGGGGGGCUGCUCCUAGUACGAGAGGACCGGAGUGGACGCAUCACUGGUGUUCGGGUUGUCAUGCCAAUGGCACUGCCCGGUAGCUAAAUGCGGAAGAGAUAAGUGCUGAAAGCAUCUAAGCACGAAACUUGCCCCGAGAUGAGUUCUCCCUGAGACUAUAAGUCUCCUGAAGGAACGUUGAAGACGACGACGUUGAUAGGCCGGGUGUGUAAGCGCAGCGAUGCGUUGAGCUAACCGGUACUAAUGAACCGUGAGGCUUAACCUU
This 2759-nucleotide ribosomal RNA is filed under the name Klebsiella sp. 10982. RNAcentral's name for it is "bacterial LSU rRNA". It matches the Rfam family "Bacterial large subunit ribosomal RNA". The record is from RNAcentral. Lineage: Bacteria; Pseudomonadati; Pseudomonadota; Gammaproteobacteria; Enterobacterales; Enterobacteriaceae.